Molecule: ribosomal RNA, 253 nt
Filed under: uncultured bacterium
Lineage: Bacteria
Description: partial 16S ribosomal RNA
Rfam family: Bacterial small subunit ribosomal RNA
Source: RNAcentral
UACGGAGGGGGCUAGCGUUGUUCGGAAUUACUGGGCGUAAAGCGCACGUAGGCGGAUCUUUAAGUCAGGGGUGAAAUCCCAAGGCUCAACCUUGGAACUGCCUUUGAUACUGGGGAUCUCGAGUCCGGAAGAGGUUGGUGGAACUGCGAGUGUAGAGGUGAAAUUCGUAGAUAUUCGCAAGAACACCAGUGGCGAAGGCGGCCAACUGGUCCGGUACUGACGCUGAGGUGCGAAAGCGUGGGGAGCAAACAGG